CUCACGCGUUAAGUUCGGGGGAAAAUUACUCCAUUGUUGAAGAAGAAACUCAACUUUAAAAGGAUGAAUGAUACCUAGUAUUCUGCUUGCUGCUCCAGAGUAAACAGGCAUGAAGGAAAAUAAGUAAAGCCAACAAAUGUGCUUUUGAAUUAUCAUCACCUAACCAGGACAAAAUCUAGUUGACGCCUCCAUCUUUCAGGAUGCUUCGGCCACAAAUCAUUUUUCUGAUAGUAAUAUCAUUACUGGAACAAUGCUCAGGUAUGUCAACACUCUAUUUUUAUCAC
This is a long non-coding RNA of Stylophora pistillata, 284 nucleotides long. RefSeq lists it as uncharacterized. Lineage: Eukaryota; Metazoa; Cnidaria; Anthozoa; Scleractinia; Pocilloporidae. The record is from RefSeq and is a predicted model, not a curated record.